GUGGGAACGCGGCCGCGGACCUGGUACCCCAGAGCAGCGAGCGGGUGGGGAGCAGCCGGGGCGAGAAUGAGCGCAAUCUUGCUAACCCCUGCGGAGGGAGCGCGCGGGCGCCAACGCGGGCGCGCGGGGGCGGGCCCUGGACCUGGACCUUGGGUUUCGGCCCUCCUCCGCGCCCCGCGGUCUCGCGGGCGAAGUUUCAGUCCUGAGUGUAAAGAAUAACCCCAAGCGCGUGGCUAAGUGCGAGCAGGCGCGUGUGACGUCGGGAGGCGCCGCGGCUCCUCGGCCGCCCCACUCGGUGGUCCCCUGUCUGGAUCCAAACUGCUGACUGGCUGACCCGAGUGGUCACAUUUGCCCUCUGGGGCUUUUGAAAACCUUAAAUCAAAAUUGCUUUUGAAUCUGACAACUCCUGAGGCUACUUUCGCGGCCUCGGGGCUGUUUCAUAUAAGGACGCGAGUUUUCCUGAUCAGGUCUGUCGGCCACGUUACGAUUUCCAAUUUGCGAUCCAUCAGUUACUUCCAUUGGGUCUUCAGCCCCCAGGGACUGUGGAUCCUAGACCCCGCGGAGAAGCCCGUGGACUGGAGCUGUGUCAGCUCUGAUGGAACAAAAACGGAGGCACAGAGAGGUCAAUUGAUUGGUCUAAUGACACAGAUCUAGCAAGUGGUGGAACCAGGACUGAAUCCAGCAGUGGAGACAACUCGCAACAUCAGCAACACAUUUGGCCCUGGAACUGCUAAUGAAUGUACAGUGCAGUGAUGGUUCAAAAAGUUUUGCAAAGGAGACAAGAGCCUUGAAGAUGAGGAGCAUGGUGGCGGGCCAUCAGAAGUUGACAGUGACCAAUUGAGAGCAAUCAUCGAAGCUGAUCCUCUUACAACUACACAAGAAGUUGCAGAAGAACUCAAUGCCUACCAUUCUAUGGUCACUUGGCAUUUGAUACAAAUUGUAAAGGUGAAAAAGCUGAAUAAAUGGGUGCCUCAUGAGUGAAAAUCAAAAAAAUCAUCAUUUUGAAGUGUCAUCUCCUCUUACUCUUUGCAACAACAAUUUGCAAGAACCAUUUCUUGAUCAGAUUGUGACAUGUGACGAAAAUUGGAUUUUAUACAACUGGCAAUGGCCAGCUCAGCAGUUGGACCGAGAAGAAACUCCAAAACACUUCCCAAAGCCAACCUUGCACCAAAAAAGGUUAUCGUCAUUGUUUGGUGGUCUGCUGCCAAUCUUAUCCACUACAGCUUUCUGAAUCCCGGCAAAACCAUUAUAUCUGAAAAUUAUGCUCAGGAAGUCUAUGAAAUGCACUGAAAACUGCAAUGCCUGGAGCUGGCAUUGGUCAACAGAAAGGGCCCAAUUCUUCUCAAAACAGUGCCUAAUCACACGUCACACAACCAACACUUCAAAAAUUGAACAAAUUGUACUAUGAAGUUUUGUCUAAUCUGCAAUAUUCACUUGACCUCUCACCAACUGACUACCACUUCUUUAAGCAUCUCAACAGCUUUUUGCAGGGAAAACACUUCCACAACCAGCUGGAUGUAGAAAAUGCUUUCCAAGCAUUCACUGAAUCUCAAGGCACAGAUUUUUAUGCUACAGGAAUAAACAAACAUUUCUUGUUGGCAAAAAUGUGUUGAUUGUAAUGGUUCCUGUUUUGAUUAAUAAAGAGGUGGUUUGAGCCUAGUUAUAAUGACUGAAAAUUCAUGAUCUGAAACUGCAAUUACUUGUGCACCAACCUAAUAUGAUCAUCUCAAUAGAUGCAGAAAAAGCACUUGACAAAAUUCAGCAUCUUUUUAUAAUUAAAACCCUCAGCAAAGUUGGCAUAGAAGGGAUAUACCUCAAGGUAAUAAAAGCCAUCUAUGAAAAACCUACAGCCAGAUUAUACAGAAUGGCGAAAGAUUGAAAGCAUUUCCCAUGAGAACUGAAAAAGACAAAGAUGCCCACAUCUACCACUUCUAUUCAAUAUAGUACUGGAAGUCCUAGCCAGAGCAAUCAGACAUGAGAAAGAAAUAAAGGGCAUCAAAAUCAGUAAAGAGGAAGUUGAACUGUUGCUGUUUAGUGGUGAUAUGAAUGUACACCUAGAAAACCCUAAAGAGUCAUCCAAAAAACUGCUAGAUCUGAUAAAUGAAUUCAGCAAAGUUUCAGGAUACAAAAUCAAGGUACACAAAUUAGUAGGACUACUAUACACCAACAAUGACCAAGCUGAGAAACUAACCGAGAACUCAAUCCCUUUUACAACAGCUGCAAGAAAUUAAAACACUUAGAAAUAUACUUAACCAAGAAGGUGAAAGAUCUGUACAAGAAAAACUACAAAACCUGCUGAAAGAAAUCAUUAAUGACUCAAACAAAUGGAAACACAUCCCAUGCUCACAGAUACGUAGAAUCAAUGGUGUGAAAAUAACCAUACUGCCAAAAGCAGUUUACAGAUUGAAUGCAAUUCCAUCAAAAUACCACCAUCAUUCUUCAUAGAACUAGAAAAAACAAUCUGAAAAUUCACAUGAAACCAAAAAAAGAAAAGACCCCACAUAGCCAAAGCAAGACUAAGCAAAAGAACAAAUCUGGAAGCAUCACAUUACCCAGCAAAACAGCAUGAUACUGGUAUAAAAAUAGGCAUGUAGACCAAUGGAACAGAAUAGAGAAUCCAGAAAUAAAGCCAAAUACUUGCAGCCAACUGAUCUUUGACAAAGCAAACAAAAACAUAAAGUGGGGAAAAGUCACCCAAUAUCAACAAAUAGAGCUGCGAUAAUUGGCAAGCUACAUUUAGAAAAAUGAAAUGGAUCCUCAUCUCUCACCUUAUGCAAAAAUCAACUCAAGAUGGAUCAAAGACUUAAAUCUAAGACCUGAAACUAUAAAAAUUCUAGAAGGUAACACUGGCAAAACUCUUCUAGACAUUGGCUUAGGCAAAGAGUACAUGACCAAGAACCCAAAAGCAAAUGCAACAAAAACAAAAGUAAAUAAAUGGGACCUAAUUAAACUAAAAAGCUUCUGCACAGUGAAAGAAACAAUCAGCAGAGUAAACAGGCAACCCACAAAAUGGGAGAAAAUACUCACAAAUUAUGCAUUUGACAAAGGACUAAUAUCAAGAAUCUACAAGGAACUCAAAUCAGCAAGACAAAACAAAUAAUCUCAUCAAAAAGUGGGCAAAGGACAUAAAUAGACAAUUCUCAAAAGAAGAUAUACAAAUGGCCGACAAACACAUGCAAAGAUGCGCAACAUCACUAUCAGGGAAAUGCAAAUCAAAACCACAACGAGAUACUACCUUACUCCUGCAAGAAUGGCCAUAAUUAAAAAAAAUAAUAAAUAGUAGGUGUUGGAGUGGAUAUGGUGAAAAGGGAACACUUUUACACUGCUGGUGGGAAUGUAAGCUAGUACAACCACUGUGUAAAACAGGAUGGAUAUUCCUUAAAGAACUAAAGUAGAACUACCAUUUGAUCCAGCAAUCCCACUGCUGGGUAGAGAGUCUACCCAGAGGAAAAUAAGUCAUUAUAUGGUAAAGACACAAGCAUAUGCAUGCAUUAUAAGUAAGAGGUAAGCUAUGAGAAUGCAAAGGCAUAAGAAUGAUAUCAUGGACUUUGGGGAUUCAGGGGGAAGAGGGAGGUGAGGGAUAAACAACUACACAUUGGGUACAUUGUACACUGCUUGGGUGAUGAGUACACCAAAAUCUGAGAAAUUACCACUAACGCAUUAAUCCAUGCAACCAAAAACUACCAGAAAAGGAUUGACAUUAAAAAAAGUUAAAAUAAAAUAAAAAUAAACUGAGAGGGAGGAAAGCCCUUUGAUUUAUGACACAGAAGCCAUAAACAAUAUGACUAUAGGAUAAUAUGUAUUUUUAAUUUUUUCAAUCUUACUAUAUCAGAAAAUUAUCAGACAUUUGAUAGUACAUCCUCCCCACAAGAAAGGUGUGGGAAAACAUCAUGCAUUCUUGGACUCAACAAAAAUUUGCUUUUAAAUACUAAUUUUAGAAUUAUAAUUGCACAUUUAAAUGAAACAUAUAUAAGGUCAUUGUAUACUUAAAUACUGCUUAUAAUAGCAAAAGACUGCAAACAACAACUUAAAAGUCUAUCAGCAGGAGUCUUGUUAAAGUAUUAUAUAAAUUACACAAUGAAAAACUAAAAAUUGUGCACCUGUAUAGAGAAUACCAAUGCUCUCUAAGCAUGGUGGAAAAUUGUGUUCAUAUUAUGCUAAAAAUUUUAUGGGGGAGAGAAAGAAAAUAUAUACCUAUAAAAUUUGUAGACUGUUUCUCAAAGGAUACAUGAGAAACUUGUAAGAGAGAAUGCAACUGGGGAGGAAAAAUGGGUGGUGGAGUAGAGGAAAGGGAAAUAAACUUAGUUUUCAUUAUUUAAAAAACCAUCUGUUUUGUUGAUUUGCUCUGCUUUUUGAGUUCUCUAUUUUAUUCAUUUUCACCCUAUUAUGUAUUAUUUGCUUCCUCUGUUUGCUCUGGUUUUAAUUUACUCUUCCUUUUCUAGUUUCUUUACCUUCGGGUUUAAAGUAUUGAUUUGAGAUCUUUAUUCUUUUUGAAAGUAAGUAUUUACAGUUAUAACUUUCCCUCUGAACACUGCUUUUAUUGCAUCCUAUGCAUUUUGGUAUGUUGUGUGUUUGUUUUCAUUCAUUUCAGAGUAUUUUCUAAUUUCCCUUGUUAUUUCUUCUUUGACUAAAUAAUUAUGUGAAGUGUAUCAUUUAACUUCUACAUAUUUGGUAAUUUCCCAAUUUUCCUGUUGUUACUUAUUCUAAAUUUACUUCUGUUGGGGUCAGAGAGCACACCUUGUACAACUGUAGUCUUUUAAAAUUUAUUAAAACUUGUUUUGUGGCUUAGUA
RNAcentral lists this long non-coding RNA (4791 nucleotides) under Homo sapiens (human). Its description in RNAcentral is "HEY2 antisense RNA 1, transcript variant 6 (HEY2-AS1)". The record is from RNAcentral. Lineage: Eukaryota; Metazoa; Chordata; Mammalia; Primates; Hominidae.